Molecule: non-coding RNA, 133 nt
Organism: Roridomyces roridus
Lineage: Eukaryota; Fungi; Basidiomycota; Agaricomycetes; Agaricales; Mycenaceae
Source: the annotation of a GenBank genome assembly
GGUUGGAUGGCCGAGCGGUCUAAGGCGCCAGACUAAGGAUCAGCGUCGUAUCUGGCGUUUCUUGUUUCAUCGUACCUUCGGUGCGUUGGAUAUCUGGUCUUUCGGGGCGUGGGUUCGAAUCCCACUCCAAUCA